GAUGAACGCUGGCGGCGUGCCUAACACAUGCAAGUCGAGCGAAGCGAUCGAGAUGAAGUUUUCGGAUGGAUUCCUGAUUGACUGAGCGGGCGACGGGUGAGGUACGCGUGGUAACCUGCCUCAUACAGGGGGAUAACAGUUAGAAAUGACUGCUAAUACCGCAUAAGCGCACAGUACCACAUGGUACAGUGUGAAAAACUCCGGUGGUAUGAGAUGGACCCGCGUCUGAUUAGCUAGUUGGUAAGGUAACGGCUUACCAAGGCGACGAUCAGUAGCCGACCUGAGAGGGUGACCGGCCACAUUGGGACUGAGACACGGCCCAA
RNAcentral lists this ribosomal RNA (323 nucleotides) under uncultured bacterium. Its description in RNAcentral is "bacterial SSU rRNA". It matches the Rfam family "Bacterial small subunit ribosomal RNA", at positions 28 to 334 of the family's 1533-position model. The record is from RNAcentral.